RNAcentral lists this ribosomal RNA (346 nucleotides) under uncultured Leuconostoc sp. RNAcentral describes it as "bacterial SSU rRNA". It matches the Rfam family "Bacterial small subunit ribosomal RNA", at positions 350 to 688 of the family's 1533-position model. The record is from RNAcentral. Lineage: Bacteria; Bacillati; Bacillota; Bacilli; Lactobacillales; Lactobacillaceae.
AGCAGUAGGGAAUCUUCCACAAUGGGCGCAAGCCUGAUGGAGCAACGCCGCGUGUGCGAUGAAGGCUUUCGGGUCGUAAAGCACUGUUGUAUGGGAAGAAAUGCUAAAAUAGGGAAUGAUUUUAGUUUGACGGUACCAUACCAGAAAGGGACGGCUAAAUACGUGCCAGCAGCCGCGGUAAUACGUAUGUCCCGAGCGUUAUCCGGAUUUAUUGGGCGUAAAGCGAGCGCAGACGGUUGAUUAAGUCUGAUGUGAAAGCCCGGAGCUCAACUCCGGAAUGGCAUUGGAAACUGGUUAACUUGAGUGUUGUAGAGGUAAGUGGAACUCCAUGUGUAGCGGUGGAAUA